AUCUCUUCUUAAAAGAAGUUUUUGUGGCAUUCUUGUGGACAAAGACUUUAUAAACAGUGCAAACAAUAAAUGUUCUUUUGCAACCCAGAACUUGUUGUUCAGUAUGUUUUGAUACAUAUAAGAAGAAAUACU
Molecule: small nucleolar RNA, 132 nt
Organism: Oryctolagus cuniculus (rabbit)
Lineage: Eukaryota; Metazoa; Chordata; Mammalia; Lagomorpha; Leporidae
Source: Ensembl